CUCCUAGGCAGAUUGCCUACCACGGCUGACGACCUCCACCUGGCCGGGUUUAUUGUUCGGAGUUUGCUCUCCUAGGCAGAUUGCCUACCACGGCUGACGACCUCCACCUGGCCGGGUUUAUUGUUCGGAGUUUGCUCUCCUAGGUGAACUGCUCACGCUAACGAGCUCCACCUGCCCGGGUUUUUUGCUCGGAGUUUGCUCUCCUAGGUGAACUGCUCACGCUAACGAGCUCCACCUGCCCGGGUUUGUUGUUCGGAGUUUGCUCUCCUAGGUGAAUUGCCUACCACGGCUAACGACCUCCACCUGCCCGGGUUUGUUGUUCGGAGUUUGCUCUCCUAGGUGAACUGCCUACCACGGCUAACGAGCCCCACCUGCCCGGGUUUGUUUAGAGUUUGCUCUCCUAGGUGAACUGCCUACCACGGCUAACGACCUCCACCUGCCCGGGUUUGUUUAGAGUUUGCUCUCCUAGGUGAAUUGCCUACCACGGCUAACGACCUCCACCUGCCCGGGUUUGUUUAGAGUUUGCUCUCCUAGGUGAAUUGCCUACCACGGCUAACGACCUCCACCUGCCCGGGUUUGUUUAGAGUUUGCUCUCCUAGGUGAAUUGCCUCCCACGGCUAACGACCUCCACCUGCCCGGGUUUAUUGUUCGGAGUUUGCUCUCCUAGGUGAAUUGCCUCCCACGGCUAACGACCUCCACCUGCCCGGGUUUGUUUAGAGUUUGCUCUCCUAGGUGAAUUGCCUCCCACGGCUAACGACCUCCACCUGCCCGGGUUUGUUUAGAGUUUGCUCUCCUAGGUGAAUUGCCUCCCACGGCUAACGACCUCCACCUGCCCGGGUUUGUAUAGAGUUUGCUCUCCUAGGUGAAUUGCCUCCCACGGCUAACGAGCCUCACCUGCCCGGGUUUGUUUAGAGUUUGCUCUCCUAGGCAGAUUGCCUACCAUGGCUAACGAG
Eriocheir sinensis (Chinese mitten crab) is the source of this 953-nucleotide long non-coding RNA. RefSeq lists it as uncharacterized. Lineage: Eukaryota; Metazoa; Arthropoda; Malacostraca; Decapoda; Varunidae. The transcript is spliced from 6 exons. The record is from RefSeq and is a predicted model, not a curated record.